This 397-nucleotide ribosomal RNA is filed under the name uncultured bacterium. Its description in RNAcentral is "partial 16S ribosomal RNA". It matches the Rfam family "Bacterial small subunit ribosomal RNA", at positions 523 to 918 of the family's 1533-position model. The record is from RNAcentral.
AUACGUGGGGGGCGAGCGUUGUCCGGAAUGAUUGGGCGUAAAGGGCGCGUAGGCGGCCCGGUAAGUCUGGAGUGAAAGUCCUGUUUUUAAGAUGGGAAUUGCUUUGGAUACUGUCGGGCUUGAGUGCAGGAGAGGUAAGUGGAAUUCCCAGUGUAGCGGUGAAAUGCGUAGAGAUUGGGAGGAACACCAGUGGCGAAGGCGACUUACGGGACUGUAACUGACGCUGAGGCGCGAAAGUGUGGGGAGCAAACAGGAUUAGAUACCCUGGUAGUCCACACUGUAAACGAUGAAUGCUAGGUGUAGGGGGUAUCGACCCCUUCUGUGCCGCAGUCAACACAAUAAGCAUUCCGCCUGGGGAGUACGGCCGCAAGGUUGAAACUCAAAUGAAUUGACGGGG